Molecule: ribosomal RNA, 120 nt
Filed under: uncultured bacterium
Lineage: Bacteria
Description: partial 16S ribosomal RNA
Rfam family: Bacterial small subunit ribosomal RNA
Source: RNAcentral
CCGGUUGGGGAUGGCCCUGCGUCCCAUUAGCUAGUUGGUGAGGUAACGGCUCACCAAGGCGACGAUGGGUAGCCGGCCUGAGAGGGUGACCGGCCACACUGGCACUGAGACACGGGCCAG